UAAUCCCUGCGCCGGCCUGAUGUAGCGUUUGGGAAGAACCAACACUAAGACAUAGGGAGUUUGACUCCAGACGCCUAUUGCAAGCCUUCCCCGGAUGGGCAGAAGGAAGCAUGAUCCGUUUGGGCAAACACCCACUGUAAUUAUUGGGGUUCUUCUUCAAAGCCAUCCGGUCGGGCAGGGUUUUU
RNAcentral lists this non-coding RNA (185 nucleotides) under Calditrichota bacterium. Its description in RNAcentral is "Calditrichaeota bacterium 6S RNA". It matches the Rfam family "6S / SsrS RNA". From Rfam's summary of the family: E. coli 6S RNA was the first non coding RNA to be sequenced, but its function was unknown until recently. It consists of 184 nucleotides that fold into an extended hairpin structure with a large single-stranded internal bulge. Lineage: Bacteria; Pseudomonadati; Calditrichota. The record is from RNAcentral.